UGUAGUGUUUCAUACUUUAUGG
This 22-nucleotide microRNA is filed under the name Petromyzon marinus (sea lamprey). RNAcentral describes it as "Pma-Mir-142-v2_3p (mature (guide))". Lineage: Eukaryota; Metazoa; Chordata; Hyperoartia; Petromyzontiformes; Petromyzontidae. The record is from RNAcentral.